Molecule: non-coding RNA, 29 nt
Filed under: Mus musculus (house mouse)
Lineage: Eukaryota; Metazoa; Chordata; Mammalia; Rodentia; Muridae
Source: RNAcentral
GCUUCAGCGACCCUCUAGGACCAGUGUUC